This 348-nucleotide long non-coding RNA is filed under the name Heterocephalus glaber (naked mole-rat). RNAcentral describes it as "lncRNA (ENSHGLG00100036435.1)". The record is from RNAcentral. Lineage: Eukaryota; Metazoa; Chordata; Mammalia; Rodentia; Bathyergidae.
GGGAGGCGUGGGUGUUGCAUACCCAUCUUACAGAUCAGAAGACCGAGACGGUGGCAGAGUGCGUCCUCUACUACUACCUGACCAAGAAGAAUGAGAACUAUAAGAGCCUGGUGAGGAGGAGCUACCGGCGACGCGGCAAGAGCCAGCUUUGUGUUUGUUUUCAUGGUUCUCUGAGAGGAAAAAAAAUAGACAGAACUUGGAGUUGCUGCUUUCCAGAUGCCAGUGGCAGAGUUGGGACCGGGAGCUGAGUGCGGGAGGGCAGCUCUGAGCUCACAGGCUCAGGCCAGCCCCCUGCCUGUUCUUGCGAAUAAAGUUUUAUUGGAACACAGCCACAGUCAUUCUGGUACA